This 304-nucleotide ribosomal RNA is filed under the name uncultured Capnocytophaga sp. RNAcentral describes it as "bacterial SSU rRNA". It matches the Rfam family "Bacterial small subunit ribosomal RNA", at positions 28 to 334 of the family's 1533-position model. The record is from RNAcentral. Lineage: Bacteria; Pseudomonadati; Bacteroidota; Flavobacteriia; Flavobacteriales; Flavobacteriaceae.
GAUGAACGCUAGCGGCAGGCCUAACACAUGCAAGUCGAGGGAGAGGUUAUCUUCGGGUAACCAAAACCGGCGCACGGGUGCGUAACGCGUAUACAAUCUGCCUUUCACAUAGGGAUAGCCCGAAUAAAUUUGGAUUAAUACCUAAUGGUAUAUAAGAGCGGCAUCGUUUUUAUAUUAAAGCUACGGUGGUGAAAGAUGAGUAUGCGUUCUAUUAGCUAGUUGGAGAGGUAACGGCUCCCCAAGGCGACGACCCAUGGGGGUUCUGACUGGGUUGCCCGACGCUUGUUGCUGAUUACUUUAUUUG